UGGGGAAUUUUGGACAAUGGGCGAAAGCCUGAUCCAGCAAUGCCGCGUGUGUGAAGAAGGCCUUCGGGUUGUAAAGCUCUGUCUUUUGGGACGAUAAUGACGGUACCAAAGGAGGAAGCCACGGCUAACUACGUGCCAGCAGCCGCGGUAAUACGUAGGUGGCAAGCGUUGUCCGGAUUUACUGGGCGUAAAGGAUGCGUAGGCGGAUUUUUAAGUGAGAUGUGAAAACCCUAAGCUUAACUUGGGGACUGCAUUUCAUACUGGAAAUCUAGAGUGCGGGAGAGGAGAAUGGAAUUCCUAGUGUAGCGGUGAAAUGCGUAGAGAUUAGGAAGAACACCAGUGGCGAAGGCGAUUCUCUGGACCGUAACUGACGCUGAGGCAUGAAAGCGUGGGUAGCAAACAGGAUUAGAUACCCUGGUAGUCCACGCCGUAAACGAUGAGUACUAGGUGUAGGAGGUAUCGACCCCUUCUGUGCCGCAGUUAACACAAUAAGUACUCCGCCUGGGAAGUACGAUCGCAAGAUUAAAACUCAAAUGAAUUGACGGGGUC
This 549-nucleotide ribosomal RNA is filed under the name uncultured bacterium. RNAcentral's name for it is "partial 16S ribosomal RNA". It matches the Rfam family "Bacterial small subunit ribosomal RNA", at positions 355 to 920 of the family's 1533-position model. The record is from RNAcentral.